UACCAGCACCCCAAGUGGUCGGGACGAUUAUUGGGCCUAAAGCAUCCGUAGCCGGUUCUACAAGUCUUCCGUUAAAUCCACCUGCUUAACAGAUGGGCUGCGGAGGAUACUAUAGAGCUAGGAAGCGGGAGAGGCAAGCGGUACUUAGUGGGUAGGGGUAAAAUCCGUUGAUCCAUUGAAGACCACCAGUGGCGAAGGCGGCUUGCCAGAACGCACUCGACGGUGAGGGAUGAAAGCUGGGGGAGCAAACCGG
This 253-nucleotide ribosomal RNA is filed under the name uncultured bacterium. RNAcentral's name for it is "partial 16S ribosomal RNA". It matches the Rfam family "Archaeal small subunit ribosomal RNA", at positions 474 to 727 of the family's 1478-position model. The record is from RNAcentral.